AUGAACCCAGUUGUGAACUGCACAUGUGAGGAAUGUGCACAAAGUCUCAGAAGGAGCUAGGCUGUGAGUUUCUUAUGAGAAUCUAAUACCUGGUGAUCUGUCACUGUCUCCCAUCACCCACAGAUGGGACCAACUAGUUGCAGGAAAGCCAGCUCACGGCUCCCACUGAUUCUACAUUAUGAAAUAUGAAGGGACACAAACAGUUUGGAAAGAAUUC
Molecule: long non-coding RNA, 217 nt
Filed under: Callithrix jacchus (white-tufted-ear marmoset)
Lineage: Eukaryota; Metazoa; Chordata; Mammalia; Primates; Cebidae
Description: lncRNA (ENSCJAG00000060010.2)
Source: RNAcentral